RNAcentral lists this long non-coding RNA (496 nucleotides) under Setaria viridis. Its description in RNAcentral is "long non-coding RNA (SVIR_LNC005066)". The record is from RNAcentral. Lineage: Eukaryota; Viridiplantae; Streptophyta; Magnoliopsida; Poales; Poaceae.
CAGGUAGGGGCGACACAGGGGUCGGCGAGGGCGGCAAUGCAGGGUGGCGGGCCGUGACGGCGCCAGCGGGGGCGGCGGCGCAGGCAAGGGAGGUAGGGGGUGGGAGUUAAGGUUUAGAUUUGAUGCAUACGAUGGAUCUCAUUUCUUACCCACGCUUUUUUGUUAUUCUAGCAGACAGAAUUGCUUUGAUAAAAUUGAUUGGAAAGCUCCAAAUUAGGUUCAAUGUGUUCCUACGUGGAUAGGUUUUCCGGGUCAAUUCGGCCUGGUGGCCAAACUUUUUUUCUUUUCUUUUUUGAGAUUACCAAACUAUUUUUCUACCGGCCUAUCUAUCAUCGGAGCCACGGCCCACACGGUAGCCUACCAAUCUCUCUUGGCAGGCACGGCCCAAGGCUCGCUCCUCAAUUCCACGCGCAAGCACGCGCCCAUGCAAGUUUGAUUCCUCUUCCGAAGCUCCAAUCGCGGCGCAUCUCGCCGUCGUCGCCGAGCCGCCGCGCCG